This is a long non-coding RNA of Entelurus aequoreus (snake pipefish), 213 nucleotides long. RefSeq lists it as uncharacterized. The transcript has 3 exons. The record is from RefSeq and is a predicted model, not a curated record. NCBI's taxonomy places the organism in Eukaryota, Metazoa, Chordata, Actinopteri, Syngnathiformes, Syngnathidae.
CGGAGGGAUUUGUCCCGCUGUCCCAAAUUGACAGUGAACAAAACAACAAUGAAGACUACACAUGAUGGUGGACAUGAUGUACUUUGUGGACGCCGUCUCUGCUCCACACGCAGACAUCUGCUGAUUGGAGUAAGCCUUGCUCUGGUUUGUCGACAAAUUGGAAGUUGCUGGAAGUCUUCAAAGUACCCCAAAACUGCGGGAAGAACUGUGGAC